CCUACGGGGGGCAGCAGUGGGGAAUAUUGGACAAUGGGCGCAAGCCUGAUCCAGCCAUACCGCGUGGGUGAAGAAGGCCUUCGGGUUGUAAAGCCCUUUUGUUGGGAAAGAAAUCCAGCUGGUUAAUACCCGGUUGGGAUGACGGUACCCAAAGAAUAAGCACCGGCUAACUUCGUGCCAGCAGCCGCGGUAAUACGAAGGGUGCAAGCGUUACUCGGAAUUACUGGGCGUAAAGCGUGCGUAGGUGGUCGUUUAAGUCCGUUGUGAAAGCCCUGGGCUCAACCUGGGAACUGCAGUGGAUACUGGGCGACUAGAAUGUGGUAGAGGGUAGCGGAAUUCCUGGUGUAGCAGUGAAAUGCGUAGAGAUCAGGAGGAACAUCCAUGGCGAAGGCAGCUACCUGGACCAACAUUGACACUGAGGCACGAAAGCGUGGGGAGCAAACAGGAUUAGAUACCCCGGUAGUC
This 465-nucleotide ribosomal RNA is filed under the name uncultured bacterium. Its description in RNAcentral is "bacterial SSU rRNA". It matches the Rfam family "Bacterial small subunit ribosomal RNA", at positions 338 to 795 of the family's 1533-position model. The record is from RNAcentral.